Molecule: non-coding RNA, 30 nt
Filed under: Mus musculus (house mouse)
Lineage: Eukaryota; Metazoa; Chordata; Mammalia; Rodentia; Muridae
Source: RNAcentral
UGGAACAUCCAGUGGCCUGCAUCUGCCUCU